GGUGAACGCUGGCGGCGUGCCUAAUACAUGCAAGUCGAGCGAACGGACGAGAAGCUUGCUUCUCUGAUGUUAGCGGCGGACGGGUGAGUAACACGUGGAUAACCUACCUAUAAGACUGGGAUAACUUCGGGAAACCGUAGCUAAUACCGGAUAAUAUUUUGAACCGCAUGGUUCAAAAGUGAAAGACGGUCUUGCUGUCACUUAUAGAUGGAUCCGCGCUGCAUUAGCUAGUUGGUAAGGUAACGGCUUACCAAGGCAACGAUGCAUAGCCGACCUGAGAGGGUGAUCGGCCACACUGGAACUGGGACACGGUCCAGACUCCUACGGGAGGCAGCAGUAGGGAAUCUUCCGCAAUGGGCGAAAGCCUGACGGAGCAACGCCGCGUGAGUGAUGAAGGUCUUCGGAUCGUAAAACUCUGUUAUUAGGGAAGAACAUAUGUGUAAGUAACUGUGCACAUCUUGACGGUACCUAAUCAGAAAGCCACGGCUAACUACGUG
RNAcentral lists this ribosomal RNA (497 nucleotides) under uncultured bacterium. Its description in RNAcentral is "partial 16S ribosomal RNA". It matches the Rfam family "Bacterial small subunit ribosomal RNA", at positions 28 to 507 of the family's 1533-position model. The record is from RNAcentral.